This 467-nucleotide ribosomal RNA is filed under the name uncultured bacterium. Its description in RNAcentral is "partial 16S ribosomal RNA". It matches the Rfam family "Bacterial small subunit ribosomal RNA", at positions 28 to 507 of the family's 1533-position model. The record is from RNAcentral.
GACGAACGCUGGCGGCGUGCUUAACACAUGCAAGUCGAACGGAAAGGCUCCAGCUUGCUGGAGUACUCGAGUGGCGAACGGGUGAGUAACACGUGGGUAAUCUGCCCUGCACUCUGGGAUAAGCCUGGGAAACUGGGUCUAAUACUGGAUAUGACCUUUCUCCUUAUGGGGUUUGGUGGAAAGUUUUUCGGUGUAGGAUGAGCCCGCGGCCUAUCAGCUUGUUGGUGGGGUGAUGGCCUACCAAGGCGACGACGGGUAGCCGGCCUGAGAGGGUGAUCGGCCACAUUGGGACUGAGAUACGGCCCAGACUCCUACGGGAGGCAGCAGUGGGGAAUAUUGCACAAUGGGCGGAAGCCUGAUGCAGCGACGCCGCGUGAGGGAUGACGGCCUUCGGGUUGUAAACCUCUUUCAGCAGGGACGAAGCGUAAGUGACGGUACCUGGAGAAGAAGCACCGGCUAACUAUGUG